Neoarius graeffei (lesser salmon catfish) is the source of this 3611-nucleotide RNA transcript. It is a transcript of the gene named G2/mitotic-specific cyclin-B3-like, with no coding region annotated. The record is from RefSeq and is a predicted model, not a curated record. The transcript has 13 exons. NCBI's taxonomy places the organism in Eukaryota, Metazoa, Chordata, Actinopteri, Siluriformes, Ariidae.
AGGACCAAUCAGCGCGCAGCUUGGAGCUGCUCUGAGUUCAAAUCUCAUGGUUUUAAACUCGCGGAGAUUAAUUUAGUUAACCGCCAAUAAAUCGAUAGAAGAAGAAGAAGGAUUAAUUUCUCACCGAUUUUAUGUUUAAAAUUCUAGACUGAGAUUCAGAUUGUGCAGCCGGUCGGGUGUGUGUGUGUGUGUGUGUGUUUAUUCCCAGAGGAGGAGCGGCAGGAACGGCGCAGUGUAAAUACACGCGUGUGUGAGGUUUCAGACUGAAGAUAAAUUUAACUGAAAACUGGGGGUUUUGUGAAGAUCAGUGUGGAGUUAAACAUCAUGCCUCAUUUCCCACCGCGGGGGAGCCAUGGGUCUAAAGCUCAGAGCAGAGGGCAUGGACCUGAGAACCAGGAAGAUGUUCAUCAUGUUAAAAGAACUCCAUCCUCUCCAGAUGGUGCUCCCAAGAAGAGAUCAGCUUUUGUUGACCUUACAAAUACCAAGAAAGUCCAGAAUGACGCCCAGGUCAAGAACAGCAAACCGGUCAAAAAGGCACAGACGAGUAAAGUGGCUAUAACAGCAAACAGUGGCCUGAAAGUGUCUAAACACCUGUCGUCUGAGGAGCAGUGCAGAAGAGCUGACGAUCAGGUGGCUCAGGUGGAGGAGUUGACUCUGACAGACACUGGUGUGUCUUUUCUUACGGACCAGCCUGCAGUCCAACCACAAAAGAUACCAGAAGAAUUUGAUGUUGAGGAACAAGCUGGUGACUGUUUGAUGAACCCGGAGUACGCGAGAGACAUUUUUGACUACCUCAGGAAUAGAGAGAAGAAAUUUGUCUUGACUGAUUACAUGCACACUCAGCCAGACCUGAAUGGGAAUAUGAGAGGAAUUUUAAUUGACUGGAUGGUGGAAGUUCAGGAAAACUUUGAGCUGAAUCAUGAAACCCUGUACCUGGCCGUGAAGUUGACUGAUCACUACCUGUCCAUCACCUCGGUGAGGAGAGAAUCCCUGCAGCUCAUUGGCUCCGCGGCUCUGCUCAUCGCUGCCAAGUUUGAAGAACGGUGUCCUCCUACUGUUGAUGACUUCCUGUACAUUUGUGACGACGCCUACCAGAGACUGGAAUUCCUUGUUAUGGAAAGGAACAUCCUCCAAGGACUUGACUUUGAUAUUAAUAUCCCUGUGCCUUACAGGUUCCUCAGGCGUUAUGCAAAGGUGGCCCAUGCUAGCAUGGAGACGCUAACUUUAGCACGCUAUAUAUGUGAACUGAGCCUGUUGGAAGUGGAGCUUGUGCCAGAGCCAGCGUCGUACUUGGCGUCCGCCUGCCUCCUCCUCGCCCUCAUCACCCACGGCCUGGGAGGAUGGACGGCGGUGCUGCAGUACCACAGCGGUUACACGCUGUGUGAACUCGGCCCCCUGGUGAGGAGACUGUAUGCCAUGCUGGCCAGGCCUACAGAUGAGAACCUCAGAGCCGUGAAGAACAAGUACUCUCACAAAGUCUUCUUUGAAGUUGGAGAAACUGCACUGGUUUCCACGGAGAUGUUGGAGGAGGCGCUAUCUGAACCGGACUUUACUCUGUCUUAAAGAACGUGGACAGAACUGGAACUCUGUUUAUUCUUCACCUCCACUCCCCCCCGCCGCCUCCACCAGUUCACCAUCGCUCAGGAUCACAUCCCUAACGCACAAGUUCCAGCUGAUUUGAACUAAAAGGUAAAACUCCGCUGACGUAGUAAGCGAUGGCCAGCGAGAGCAGUGCGAUGAAGAGCAGGAGCAACAGAACCCUCCAGAAGCCGAGAUCCUCUACAAACUCCUGCCACGUGGUCUGAAAGCUGGAGAACACGCCCUCGCUGCGGUGGAGCUGAGGGUUGAGGAGUGAAUGACUCUCCAUGGCACUAUGCAAGAGGAACAAUGGCUGGAGUGAAAGCUGCGGUUGAAGCCCUUCAUCUCCUGCUCUUCCAGUCCCUCGAGCAGACGAAGAGCGUCUCUGUUCACACCGCGCCGCUUUGCCAGGACCAGAGGAGUGGCUCCGUUAUGGUUACUGUAAAACAAAACAAAACCAAAAAAACCCACACAACACAGAGGAACUUUAUCAGAAUAAAAACUUUUGAAGUAUCCGUACAAACAUGACGCCCCUCCCCCCAGCCAGCUCUGCCCCAUCACAACACGGGAGGGAGGAAUCCUGUGACGCACAUGAAGGCAGACAACCACACCUUUUCACCAAACUGCUGCGUCACAGGACGGUGUACCUCACUCAGGUGUACCUCACUCAGGUGUACCUCACUCCGCCCGCUGCUGAUUUUUUCCCACUCAUGAUUUACCUUUCAGAUAAUCUGAACUGAUAACAGACUGGAAAACCACACCCAGCGUUCCGACUGUUUCAGGUGUAAGGAGAGGAGCAGAGGAGUCUUAAUCCUGCUGCACAGUGGGUGCACCCCAAACCUGGUGACUACUCCCCGUGUUCCCAUGGCAACCAGCUGAGUAACAUGUACUAGUGUACUGAGGUUAUUGUGGAGCUCCUACACAAAAUGCAUAAAGAAUGGAAGGUCUGCUAAUCUAAUCUAAUCUAAUCUAAUCUAAUCUAAUCUAAUCUAAUCUAAUCAGAGUAAAUGUCACUGAUAUCUCAGGAGCGUAAUAUUGUUUUGAGACGAAUAAAUCAUAAUAAUCACAUUGGCCUAACUACACACGCUGUACUGUCCAUCCAUUAAUCCAGUAUCUACACUGUUUAUCCAUCAAGGUCGUAGGGAAACUGAAGCCAAUCCCAGCUGACUUCAGGUGAGGGGCAGAGUUCACCAAUCUAUCACAGAACUCACACAGAGACCAACAGCAAUCACACCUCUGAACAAUUUAGUGCAGCCAGUUGGCCUAAUCCACAUCUUUGGACUGUGGGAGGAAACCCACACAGACACGAGGAGAGAACAUGAGAAGUCCACACAGAAAGACCCCCGUCGACCACGAGAUUCAAACCUGGAAUAAAAUAACGAAAUGACUUUGGGACGAACAUUCACCCACCAGAUAUCGAUCUUGAGUCCAUUGGACACGAGGAACUGGAUGGUGUCCACGUGGCCACACAUGUGCAGUGCGGUGUUACCCUGAGCGUCAGUGGCCAGCAGGUCUGCACCAAACUUAUGUAGCAGGCGACAGAUCUCCACGUUCCCGCGUGCUGCAGCCAGGUGCAUCCCUGAGCGUCCCCGACAGUCACGCGUGUUCGGGUCGAAGCCGGUCUCCAGCAGGCGCUUAGUAUAGACCACAUCUCCAUCAAUGCAGGCCUGCAGCAGCGGCAGUGUGGCCUGCAGAGAGUCACUGGCGAACACGUACGACAUGCUGCUGCCAGGCGCACGUUCAACGUCCUACAAAACAAAGUAAAUUCUACAUGAGCGCGUCUGCAAAGUGGAGCACUGUGGAGAAAUGUAAUAUUCUGAUAUCAGAAGACAAUUUUGACAGCAAACAUCAGCUAUCAUAAUCAACCAAUCUAAUACACAUCAGAAGUUCAUCCUGGGGUUUAAUGAAUAUGCAAAUGAGCCUGUGACAUCAUCCGGCGACUUCUACCAACUCCUCGCGCUUCAGCUUGCAUUAUUAGCGACUUUCCCCUGAAGACUCCGUCACCAAAACACACAUUUCAUUUAAACAGUGUC